UGAGGAAUAUUGGUCAAUGGGCGAGAGCCUGAACCAGCCAAAUCGCGUGAAGGAAGACUGCCUUAUGGGUUGUAAACUUCUUUUAUACAGGAAUAAAAAAGGGGACGUGUCCCUUAUUGCAUGUACUGUAUGAAUAAGCAUCGGCUAACUCCGUGCCAGCAGCCGCGGUAAUACGGAGGAUGCGAGCGUUAUCCGGAUUUAUUGGGUUUAAAGGGUGCGCAGGCGGGCUUUUAAGUCAGCGGUGAAAUCUCGGGGCUUAACUCCGAAACUGCCGUUGAAACUGGGAGUCUUGAGUAUGGAUGAAGUAGGCGGAAUUCGUUGUGUAGCGGUGACAUGCUUAGAUAUAACGAGGAACUCCGAUUGCGUAGGCAGCUUACUAAGCCAUAACUGACGCUCAAGCAUGAAAGCGUGGGGAUCAAACAGGAUUAGAUACCCUGGUAGUCCACGCCGUAAACGAUGAUUACUAGUUGUAUGCGAUAUACCGUAUGUGACUAAGCGAAAGCGAUAAGUAAUCCACCUGGGGAGUACGCCGGCAACGGUGAAACUUAAAGGAAUUGAC
Molecule: ribosomal RNA, 559 nt
Filed under: uncultured bacterium
Lineage: Bacteria
Description: partial 16S ribosomal RNA
Rfam family: Bacterial small subunit ribosomal RNA
Source: RNAcentral